GCGCGUCUGUGGUUGAAAGUCGAUGCCAGUCGCAGGCGAAACGAUCCACGUAAGCCGGGAAAAUCCCGGUGAGCAUGGUGCGGCUUAGAGGUAAGUCCUGCCAGUGUUUUUUAGCGUCCGCGCAAGCGAGGGGCGAUAAUGCUGAGAGAUGCAGUAGUGGGGAGGCAGAGUCCUUAAGAGCGAACCAUCCGGCAGGCGGGUGUGGGGUCAAAGACCAGGUCAGGCGC
This 227-nucleotide non-coding RNA is filed under the name bovine gut metagenome. Its description in RNAcentral is "raiA RNA". It matches the Rfam family "raiA RNA". The record is from RNAcentral.